GGCUGAGAGAUCAACUGUUCCCUUCGGGGACAGAAUGACAGGUGGUGCAUGGUUGUCGUCAGCUCGUGUCGUGAGAUGUUGGGUUAAGUCCCGCAACGAGCGCAACCCUUAUGAUCAGUUGCCAGCAUUCAGUUGGGUACUCUGGUCAAAGUGCCGGUGACAAACCGGAGGAAGGCGGGGAUGACGUCAAAUCAUCAUGCCCCUUAUGACCUGGGCUACACACGUGCUACAAUGGGUGGUACAACAAGCAGCGAGACCGCGAGGUCAAGCGAAUCUCUAAAACCCAUCCUCAGUUCGGAUUGCAGGCUGCAACUCGCCUGCUUGAAGCUGGAAAUCGCUAGUAAUCGCGGAUCAGCACGCCGCGGUGAAUACGUUCCCGGGUCUUGUAACCACCAGAAUCGAAAUUCCC
Molecule: ribosomal RNA, 409 nt
Filed under: uncultured bacterium
Lineage: Bacteria
Description: bacterial SSU rRNA
Rfam family: Bacterial small subunit ribosomal RNA
Source: RNAcentral